ACACACACACACACACGCACACAUUAGUGUUUUCAAUUAUGAGUAAUUUAUUUUAUUUUAUUUGGAUUUCAAACUUAUUAUAACUUGAAUGCUAGUUAUUAUUAUGUUUAACUUCAUGUUAUUUUAAGUUCCCUCAUUUAUUUUAUUUUUUAUGAUUUUUUUUUUUAAUUUUUACGCCUCUCCUUGAGCCUAGACCCAGGUGAGCCUUUAAUAACUAUGCGGGAACCUAAAAUCACAUGGUAGAAAUUAGCGAAAAGAAUAUUUAGUGACCCUAUAACUUUUAGAAAAUGUAAAUGCAAACCAAGUAGAAUAUAUUGGAGCCAGCUGGCACAUAGUGCUUCAAUAUUGCAGAAAAUUAUUAGUGACGAACGAUUUCUUAGGCUAUCUAGAAAAGUCAACCCCAAGUAUUGUAUUGAUAUUUUUCAAGAGUUGAAACAGAAUAAUUUUUAUUCAGUUUAUGUUCAAUAAGUAGGAAUGAUUUUCCUUUGACUUGUGCAGCCUCCUUGCAGAAAAUCAAAUAUGUUCAAUUCAAUGAAUGAGGGCUCAUCUGAACAUCUUCAUUAUUUUGCAGUGUGAACCCAUAUUAAGAAAUUAACUAAAUUUAUGAAGACUAACUAUCAAUAAAUACAAAAUGAACUACUGUAUGGAUGCCAAGAAACUCAUCUAUUGCACUAUGGAAAACUACCAUGAUUCAUUUGUAUGACGUAAUGACCAAGGUAAAACAACUUACAAUAGACUGAUGAAUGUAUAAAAACUCCAAGAUGAGUAAUUUGAUUGUUAUACACUCUGGUAACUGUAUAAUUUAGAAGGCAUUUUUAAUUACCUUGUCUUUCACUAAACCACCA
This 845-nucleotide unclassified non-coding RNA is filed under the name Hevea brasiliensis (rubber tree). The record is from RNAcentral. Lineage: Eukaryota; Viridiplantae; Streptophyta; Magnoliopsida; Malpighiales; Euphorbiaceae.